RNAcentral lists this ribosomal RNA (116 nucleotides) under Escherichia coli. RNAcentral's name for it is "partial 23S ribosomal RNA". It matches the Rfam family "Bacterial large subunit ribosomal RNA", at positions 1 to 106 of the family's 2925-position model. The record is from RNAcentral. Lineage: Bacteria; Pseudomonadati; Pseudomonadota; Gammaproteobacteria; Enterobacterales; Enterobacteriaceae.
GGGUUGUGAGGUUAAGCGAAUAAGCGUACACGGUGGAUGCCUAGGCAAUCAGAGGCGAUGAAGGACGUGCUAAUCUGCGAUAAGCGUCGGUAAGGUGAUAUGAACCGUUAUAACCG